This 1029-nucleotide long non-coding RNA is filed under the name Salmo salar (Atlantic salmon). RNAcentral's name for it is "lncRNA (ENSSSAG00000119149.1)". Lineage: Eukaryota; Metazoa; Chordata; Actinopteri; Salmoniformes; Salmonidae. The record is from RNAcentral.
GGGAGUCUGAGAAGAACAGAGAGAUGUCCUACACGGGAUCCUCUGUAGAGACAGGAAGAGAACCUUGUUUUAGUUGCCUGGCAGAGCUUCACUUCAUCUUUUGGUUUGGUUCUCACAGUAAAUAGAGAUGGGAGAAUGGAGGCUUCAUAUACCAGAUGUUUCCUUUCCUCCUGAAGGCUGUUUUGAAGACCGGUGUCCUUGCCUUGAGAAAGGCUCUGUCAAGACAUUGACAGUAAAGUCUCCUUUCAUUGUCUCCCUGGGCUGUAUGUGUGGUCCUGCUCCCCACAGCAGAUUCCUAACACUGUGACUGUCUCCCUGGGCUGUAUGUGUGGUCCUGCUCCCCACAGCAGAUUCCUAACACUGUGACUGUCUCCCUGGGCUGUAUGUGUGGUCCUGCUCCCCACAGCAGAUUCCUAACACUGUGACUGUCUCCCUGGGCUGUAUGUGUGGUCCUGCUCCCCACAGCAGAUUCCUAACACUGUGACUGUCUCCCUGAUUCAGAAGGCUGUUGAGAAAACACAAAGACACCUUUACCAAGGUCGAGAUCCCGUCAGAAUAUCAAUGUGAGCACAGCGGCGGUGAUGGGGGUGGCUGUGAGAGGACAGAGAGGAGUGGCGCCCACCAAGGAGUCUCAUUAUGACACAGAGGGACAUCCGCCUAACACUAACGCUACGGGGUCUGCCACGGCCAGGAGCAGGGGUCCACUACGUAGGGAACCUGGAGAACACAAACCCAUAACCACCACCGGGAUGGACCGAGACACGGGGAUAGAGAGAGGGAGGGAGAAUGAGAGAGGGAGGGAGAAUGAGAGAGGGAUGGGAAGAGGGCGGGAGAAGGAGAGAGGGAGGGAGAGAGAGGUUGAGGUAGAGAGAGAAUCUCCAUGUCCCAGCAACACCAAUGGAGACUCUGAUGUAGAAGCUCUACUGGCCAGACUGAGGGCCUUGUAAGAGAUCUAUUUCCAGACACAGAUAACCCAGUCGCACCCAAACACCUCCACACCUGGCUGCCCCCCCCACCCCCAUAUCUGCA